RNAcentral lists this ribosomal RNA (342 nucleotides) under Triticum aestivum (bread wheat). RNAcentral describes it as "partial small subunit ribosomal RNA". Lineage: Eukaryota; Viridiplantae; Streptophyta; Magnoliopsida; Poales; Poaceae. The record is from RNAcentral.
AUGAGAUUGUAUAGGUAGGACACAACAAACUCCUUCCGCUUAUCAUCUCCAGAACGAGCCUUUUCAAUUAGCUUCUUGAGGGCUCUUCGCUCAGUCAAUGCUGCCCUGGAAGAAGUAAUUCCCAGCUUCAGAGCAGCCAUAUGAAAGACCUCAAGCUCCCCACUAUCGCUGGAACUGUUCAUUUUAUUGUUUCUCUGGAGCAAAUUGAUCACCUCAUCACCAGCUUCCUUCUCUGAUUGAUCCAAUGUAAAUACAACCUCCUCCAACUCACCAAUGAUCUCUACAAUCUUAUGGCCAAUAUCUUCGGUUACUAUGCUUUCGACACGCCGUAGACUUUCCUGA